UGGGGAAUAUUGCGCAAUGGGCGAAAGCCUGACGCAGCUACGCCGCGUGGGUGAUGAAGGCCUUCGGGUUGUAAAGCCCUGUCGAGGGGGAAGAAGUAUGACGGUACCCCUCAAGAAAGCGCCGGCUAACCCUGUGCCAGCAGCCGCGGUAAUACAGGGGGCGCGAGCGUUGCUCGGAAUCACUGGGCGUAAAGCGUACGCAGGCGGACCGUUAAGUCGGAUGUGAAAUCCCAGGGCUCAACCCUGGAAGUGCAUUCGAUACUGGCGGUCUCGAGUACGGGAGAGGAGAGCGGAAUUCCUGGUGUAGAGGUGAAAUUCGUAGAUAUCAGGAGGAACACCGGUGGCGAAAGCGGCUCUCUGGCCCGAUACUGACGCUCAUGUACGAAAGCGUGGGGAGCAAACAGG
This 405-nucleotide ribosomal RNA is filed under the name uncultured bacterium. Its description in RNAcentral is "bacterial SSU rRNA". It matches the Rfam family "Bacterial small subunit ribosomal RNA", at positions 355 to 776 of the family's 1533-position model. The record is from RNAcentral.